UGCCUGCACCUUUCUCUCUAGGGCUUCAAACAAAUGCACGUCUCUCUUUCUCUCUCUCUCUAGAGCUUCAAACAACUCUUUAUUGCGCCUGCCACUGAUUUAAUCUCUCUUUGUCUCUCUCUAGGCCUCAAACCACUCCUGUUUUAAGCAGCACUCAUUAUAAAUACAUGGGAAUACUGAAAGUCACUACGUAUAUGCGUACUGAGAAAUCAUAGGAAAUCAAUCUCCCAUCACUGCAAAAAUAUGGAGAUGAGAGUUCAGCCAUUUCUGGCGUCGGUGGGUCGCCAUUUCUACGCCUUCUUCUGUCUCGCAUUCGUCGUCUUUGCCGCUGCUCUUGCCCCACACAUACCCUCUGAUUCUGCACCAGAAAAUGCGCGCCUCAAGUCCAAGAGAAAGCUGGCAUCGCUGUAGAGAAGCUAUCUGGCCAUUUUAACCACACCAAUAUCACUUCUGCACCUUUCUCUUUCCAUUACUUUUGUUAAUUUUUCUCUAUUUUAAUCAGUUACCAUGUAUUUUGAGUCUGAUCCUUAAUCAACUAAUUCAGUUUGUUCGAAGUGGUGAUAUAUGUAAAGGAAUUGUUGGAAAUUCAGGA
Amborella trichopoda is the source of this 592-nucleotide non-coding RNA. NCBI's taxonomy places the organism in Eukaryota, Viridiplantae, Streptophyta, Magnoliopsida, Amborellales, Amborellaceae. The record is from RefSeq and is a predicted model, not a curated record.